ACAUGCAAGUCGAGCGAACGGACGAGAAGCUUGCUUCUCUGAUGUUAGCGGCGGACGGGUGAGUAACACGUGGAUAACCUACCUAUAAGACUGGGAUAACUUCGGGAAACCGGAGCUAAUACCGGAUAAUAUUUUGAACCGCAUGGUUCAAAAGUGAAAGACGGUCUUGCUGUCACUUAUAGAUGGAUCCGCGCUGCAUUAGCUAGUUGGUAAGGUAACGGCUUACCAAGGCAACGAUGCAUAGCCGACCUGAGAGGGUGAUCGGCCACACUGGAACUGAGACACGGUCCAGACUCCUACGGGAGGCAGCAGUAGGGAAUCUUCCGCAAUGGGCGAAAGCCUGACGGAGCAACGCCGCGUGAGUGAUGAAGGUCUUCGGAUCGUAAAACUCUGUUAUUAGGGAAGAACAUAUGUGUAAGUAACUGUGCACAUCUUGACGGUACCUAAUCAGAAAGCCACGGCUAACUACGUGCCAGCAGCCGCGGUAAUACGUAGGUGGCAAGCGUUAUCCGGAAUUAUUGGGCGUAAAGCGCGCGUAGGCGGUUUUUUAAGUCUGAUGUGAAAGCCCACGGCUCAACCGUGGAGGGUCAUUGGAAACUGGAAAACUUGAGUGCAGAAGAGGAAAGUGGAAUUCCAUGUGUAGCGGUGAAAUGCGCAGAGAUAUGGAGGAACACCAGUGGCGAAGGCGACUUUCUGGUCUGUAACUGACGCUGAUGUGCGAAAGCGUGGGGAUCAAACAGGAUUAGAUACCCUGGUAGUCCACGCCGUAAACGAUGAGUGCUAAGUGUUAGGGGGUUUCCGCCCCUUAGUGCUGCAGCUAACGCAUUAAGCACUCCGCCUGGGGAGUACGACCGCAAGGUUGAAACUCAAAGGAAUUGACGGGGACCCGCACAAGCGGUGGAGCAUGUGGUUUAAUUCGAAGCAACGCGAAGAACCUUACCAAAUCUUGACAUCCUUUGACAACUCUAGAGAUAGAGCCUUCCCCUUCGGGGGACAAAGUGACAGGUGGUGCAUGGUUGUCGUCAGCUCGUGUCGUGAGAUGUUGGGUUAAGUCCCGCAACGAGCGCAACCCUUAAGCUUAGUUGCCAUCAUUAAGUUGGGCACUCUAAGUUGACUGCCGGUGACAAACCGGAGGAAGGUGGGGAUGACGUCAAAUCAUC
RNAcentral lists this ribosomal RNA (1160 nucleotides) under Staphylococcus aureus. RNAcentral describes it as "bacterial SSU rRNA". It matches the Rfam family "Bacterial small subunit ribosomal RNA", at positions 53 to 1194 of the family's 1533-position model. The record is from RNAcentral. Lineage: Bacteria; Bacillati; Bacillota; Bacilli; Caryophanales; Staphylococcaceae.